GAUGAAGAACGCAGCGAAAUGCGAUAAGUAAUGUGAAUUGCAGAAUUCAGUGAAUCAUCGAAUCUUUGAACGCACAUUGCGCCCGCUAGUACUCUGGCGGGCAUGCCUGUCCGAGCGUCAUUUCAACCCUCAAGCCCCCGGGCUUGGUGUUGGGGAUCGGCGAGCCUCCGCGCCCGCCGUCCCCUAAAUCUAGUGGCGGUCUCGCUGUAGCUUCCUCUGCGUAGUAGCACACCUCGCACUGGGAAACAGCGCGGCCACGCCGUUAAACCCCCAACUUCUGAACGUUUGACCUCGGAUCAGGUAGGAAUACCCGCUGAACUUAAGCAUAUCAAUAAGCGGAGGA
RNAcentral lists this unclassified non-coding RNA (343 nucleotides) under soil metagenome. RNAcentral describes it as "partial contains 5.8S ribosomal RNA, internal transcribed spacer 2, and large subunit ribosomal RNA". The stretch from base 1 to 120 matches the Rfam family "5.8S ribosomal RNA", at positions 35 to 154 of the family's 154-position model. The record is from RNAcentral.